Molecule: ribosomal RNA, 523 nt
Filed under: uncultured bacterium
Lineage: Bacteria
Description: partial 16S ribosomal RNA
Rfam family: Bacterial small subunit ribosomal RNA
Source: RNAcentral
GACGAACGCUGGCGGCGUGCUUAACACAUGCAAGUCGAACGGACAGACAGAGAGCUUGCUCUCUUGAAGUUAGUGGCGAACGGGUGAGUAACGCGUAAUCAACCUGCCCUUCAGAGGGGGAUAACAACGGGAAACCGUUGCUAAUACCGCGUACGAUACAUGAACGGCAUCGUUUAUGAAUGAAAGGUGGCCUCUAUGUAUAAUCUAUCGCUGAAGGAGGGGAUUGCGUCUGAUUAGCUAGUUGGAGGGGUAACGGCACACCAAGGCAAUGAUCAGCAGCGGGUCUGAGAGGAUGAACGGCCACAUUGGGACUGAGACGCGGCCCAAACUCCUACGGGAGGCAGCAGUGGGGAAUCUUGCGCAAUGGGCGAAAGCCUGACGCAGCGACGCCGCGUGGAGGAUGAAGGUCUUCGGAUUGUAAACUCCUGUUAAGUGGGAAGAAAUAGCCAUCCUUAAUACGGGUGGCGAAUGACGGUACCAUUAGAGAAAGCACCGGCUAAUCUCGUGCCAGCCGCCGCCGUAA